Molecule: ribosomal RNA, 254 nt
Filed under: uncultured bacterium
Lineage: Bacteria
Description: partial 16S ribosomal RNA
Rfam family: Bacterial small subunit ribosomal RNA
Source: RNAcentral
UACGUAGGGUGCGAGCGUUAAUCGGAAUUACUGGGCGUAAAGCGUGCGCAGGCGGUUAUGUAAGACAGAUGUGAAAUCCCCGGGCUUAACCUGGGAACUGCACUCGAAACUUCUUUUCUUGAGUGCCGGAGAGGAAAGCGGAAUUCCUGGUGUAGAGGUGAAAUUCGUAGAUAUCAGGAGGAACACCAGUGGCGAAGGCGGCUUUCUGGACGGUAACUGGACGCUGAGGAGCGAAAGCGUGGGGAGCGAACAGG